UGGAUGGAUGAUGUUAAACGCCAGCAUUAGAGUCAUCAAUGAUGAAUAAUACGUGUCUGGAACUCUUAAGUCCAA
This 75-nucleotide small nucleolar RNA is filed under the name Catagonus wagneri (Chacoan peccary). RNAcentral's name for it is "Small nucleolar RNA SNORD113/SNORD114 family (ENSCWAG00000005231.1)". It matches the Rfam family "Small nucleolar RNA SNORD113/SNORD114 family". Rfam says of the family: The imprinted human domain at 14q32 contains two clusters of tandemly repeated small nucleolar RNAs named 14q(I) and 14q(II) snoRNAs. These two clusters are named SNORD113 and SNORD114 respectively in the HGNC approved gene symbol nomenclature. The record is from Rfam by way of RNAcentral. Lineage: Eukaryota; Metazoa; Chordata; Mammalia; Artiodactyla; Tayassuidae.